This 70-nucleotide transfer RNA is filed under the name Pseudobutyrivibrio sp. YE44. RNAcentral describes it as "tRNA_Cys_GCA". It matches the Rfam family "tRNA". From Rfam's summary of the family: Transfer RNA (tRNA) molecules are approximately 80 nucleotides in length. Their secondary structure includes four short double-helical elements and three loops (D, anti-codon, and T loops). The record is from RNAcentral. Lineage: Bacteria; Bacillati; Bacillota; Clostridia; Lachnospirales; Lachnospiraceae.
GGUGCUAUAGCCGCUGGAAUGGCAUAGGCUCGCAAAGCUGAAGUUGUUGGUUCGAAUCCAACUAGCACCA